AUGGGAGUGGGUUGCAAAAGAAGUAGGUAGCUUAACCUUCGGAGGGCGCUUACCACUUUGUGAUUCAUGACUGGGGUGAAGUCGUAACAAGGUAACCGUAGGGGAACCUGCGGUUGGAUCACCUCCUUACCUUAAAGAA
This 139-nucleotide ribosomal RNA is filed under the name Klebsiella pneumoniae subsp. pneumoniae KPNIH4. Its description in RNAcentral is "partial 16S ribosomal RNA". It matches the Rfam family "Bacterial small subunit ribosomal RNA", at positions 1404 to 1533 of the family's 1533-position model. Lineage: Bacteria; Pseudomonadati; Pseudomonadota; Gammaproteobacteria; Enterobacterales; Enterobacteriaceae. The record is from RNAcentral.